CCUGGCGACAAUGGCGGAGGGGCCACACCCGUUCCCAUCCCGAACACGGCAGUUAAGCCCUCCAGCGCCGAUGGUACUGCAGUUUACUGUGGGCAAAAAGACAGCUUUGCUUAAGUGCAAGGC
This 123-nucleotide ribosomal RNA is filed under the name Firmicutes bacterium HGW-Firmicutes-15. Lineage: Bacteria; Bacillati; Bacillota. The record is from RNAcentral.